This 492-nucleotide ribosomal RNA is filed under the name Salmonella enterica. Its description in RNAcentral is "partial 23S ribosomal RNA". It matches the Rfam family "Bacterial large subunit ribosomal RNA", at positions 2313 to 2804 of the family's 2925-position model. The record is from RNAcentral. RNAcentral also lists the same sequence under 1 other name. Lineage: Bacteria; Pseudomonadati; Pseudomonadota; Gammaproteobacteria; Enterobacterales; Enterobacteriaceae.
AAGGUUGGCUAAUCCUGGUCGGACAUCAGGAGGUUAGUGCAAUGGCAUAAGCCAGCUUGACUGCGAGCGUGACGGCGCGAGCAGGUGCGAAAGCAGGUCAUAGUGAUCCGGUGGUUCUGAAUGGAAGGGCCAUCGCUCAACGGAUAAAAGGUACUCCGGGGAUAACAGGCUGAUACCGCCCAAGAGUUCAUAUCGACGGCGGUGUUUGGCACCUCGAUGUCGGCUCAUCACAUCCUGGGGCUGAAGUAGGUCCCAAGGGUAUGGCUGUUCGCCAUUUAAAGUGGUACGCGAGCUGGGUUUAGAACGUCGUGAGACAGUUCGGUCCCUAUCUGCCGUGGGCGCUGGAGAACUGAGGGGGGCUGCUCCUAGUACGAGAGGACCGGAGUGGACGCAUCACUGGUGUUCGGGUUGUCAUGCCAAUGGCACUGCCCGGUAGCUAAAUGCGGAAGAGAUAAGUGCUGAAAGCAUCUAAGCACGAAACUUGCCCCGAGA